This 471-nucleotide ribosomal RNA is filed under the name uncultured bacterium. RNAcentral's name for it is "bacterial SSU rRNA". It matches the Rfam family "Bacterial small subunit ribosomal RNA", at positions 854 to 1327 of the family's 1533-position model. The record is from RNAcentral.
AAAGCGUUAAGCAUCCCACCUGGGGAGUACGCCGGCAACGGUGAAACUCAAAGGAAUUGACGGGGGCCCGCACAAGCGGAGGAACAUGUGGUUUAAUUCGAUGAUACGCGAGAAACCUUACCCGGGCUUGAACUGCAGAGGAAUGCGGUGGAGACACCAAAGCCCUUCGUGGUCUCUGCAGAGGUGCUGCAUGGUUGUCGUCAGCUCGUGCCGUGAGGUGUCGGCUUAAGUGCCAUAACGAGCGCAACCCCUCUCGCCAGUUGCCAUCAGGUUAUGCUGGGCACUCUGGCGACACUGCCACCGCAAGGUGUGAGGAAGGUGGGGAUGACGUCAAAUCAGCACGGCCCUUACGUCCGGGGCUACACACGUGUUACAAUGGGCGGUACAGAGAGUAGGGUGUACGCAAGUGCGCUCCAAUCAUGAAAGCCAUCCUCAGUUAGGAGGGGGGUCUGCAACCCGACCCCAGAAGCU